CGGCCCAUAUUUGGAUGGACUUAUUUGUGUGCACAGAGCUGUAGCUUAUCUGCAUGCAAGGGAAUAAACGGGAAUAAAGCGAAAGCUUUUGACGAGAGAGCGAGCUUUGGGUUAUCUUGGUGGGUUAUCUAGCCCUUGUGCUUUAGAAUGGGAUGAAGAAUCAAAAUCAAAGCUCAAGCGCUGGAUCAUUCGAUCCAUGGAACUAAAUUGUGGAAGGUCAGUUUGGUGGUACGGCGAGAUAAAAGAAAAGAAAAGAAUAAAAGGUUAUACACGUGUGUGAAAAAAAAAGAAAAAUUGAAAUCAAUAAAUCGUCGAAAGUAGGGUGCACAUGCCAAGCUGCCCCAAAAAAUUAAGAUCAGUGUGCCGAAAAGCCGAAAAAUCUGUGGUUCUCCAAAGAUAAACCCGGUUUCAAGCCCCAAACGGGGUCUGAGCUUUGCCAGUCGAUCUCGGUUUCUCCAGUGUAAUUUAAUAUUGACGAAAGUUAUCCAACGGAGGUCAAACUUCUGCCGCACAACGAAAAUUUGCGAUCAACCUUAUUUUUGACCUUGGCAGAGGACAUACAGUUGCCUCUGAAAUUCUAUGUCGUGGCCUGGAUAGGCACAGACAUAUCCAUAUCGGAUGUCUUCAAGGAAAAGGAUUGACACACACACACACACACUGAAUUCAACCGUAGCUACUAUUGCUAUUAUUAUUAUUUUUUUUUGCAUUUAAAUUUUGUACAUUAUAAUCUAAUCUAGGACACAUCAAUGCAUGCAGGCCUGUUGCAGCGAUGGAAAACCAAACGUUAGCACCAGAAUCUCUUGUAUGUGUUUAGCUGGAACAACUGAAAGAUCCCCCCCAUCCGACGAGCCCUAGCCGAAAGAUCCCACACAGUGCUAACCAUAACAUCUAUGCAAGUUGUCUAGUUUGUGGAAUGCGUCUCGAAAGCUACCACACCAGAACACCGGGACACAUUACAAAAGUGGCGCCCAACGUGGGGCACGAUACAACAACAACAG
This is a long non-coding RNA of Drosophila miranda, 998 nucleotides long. RefSeq lists it as uncharacterized. The record is from RefSeq and is a predicted model, not a curated record. The transcript is spliced from 3 exons. Lineage: Eukaryota; Metazoa; Arthropoda; Insecta; Diptera; Drosophilidae.